UACGGAAGGCAGCAGUGGGGAAUAUUGCACAAUGGGCGCAAGCCUGAUGCAGCCAUGCCGCGUGUAUGAAGAAGGCCUUCGGGUUGUAAAGUACUUUCAGUCGUGAGGAAGGUGUUAAGGUUAAUAACCUUAGCAAUUGACGUUAGCGACAGAAGAAGCACCGGCUAACUCCGUGCCAGCAGCCGCGGUAAUACGGAGGGUGCGAGCGUUAAUCGGAAUUACUGGGCGUAAAGGGCACGCAGGCGGUUAAUUAAGUUGGAUGUGAAAUCCCCGGGCUUAACCUGGGAAUGGCAUUCAAGACUGGUUAGCUAGAGUCUUGUAGAGGGGGUAGAAUUCCAUGUGUAGCGGUGAAAUGCGUAGAGAUGUGGAGGAAUACCGGUGGCGAAGGCGGCCCCGUGGACAAAGGACUGACGCUCAUGUGCGAAAGCGUGGGGAGCAAACAGGGAUUAGAUACC
RNAcentral lists this ribosomal RNA (455 nucleotides) under uncultured bacterium. RNAcentral describes it as "bacterial SSU rRNA". It matches the Rfam family "Bacterial small subunit ribosomal RNA", at positions 340 to 786 of the family's 1533-position model. The record is from RNAcentral.